GGUAAGUGUGAACGCAUUCGGCUCACUUGCGUACCAGCAAAUGCCUUCAAACGGGUUGGGAAUCGAGGCUGAAACACUAAUCAGGAGUUUGAGCUUGUCAAAAGCAACACCCGGAUCACAAGUGGAGAUGGCCAGGUAUGCAGAAAAGCCAGUGAGAUCUUCUAGCCCGAAGAUUCACUCACAGCGCAUUCAGCAACCGCGCUGAGCUGAAUGUGAUUAGUUUCUCGGGCCUUGCUUAGCUAUGGGUUCUGUAUGUAUUUACAAAAAGUGAAAGAGAAAACUGUAGUAACUUUGUUUGUAUGUUGUAAGUUUAUGUAUAGAGCAAGGUCUUAACUUUC
Helianthus annuus (common sunflower) is the source of this 338-nucleotide long non-coding RNA. RefSeq lists it as uncharacterized. The record is from RefSeq and is a predicted model, not a curated record. NCBI's taxonomy places the organism in Eukaryota, Viridiplantae, Streptophyta, Magnoliopsida, Asterales, Asteraceae. The transcript has 2 exons.